RNAcentral lists this ribosomal RNA (879 nucleotides) under uncultured bacterium. RNAcentral describes it as "bacterial SSU rRNA". It matches the Rfam family "Bacterial small subunit ribosomal RNA", at positions 8 to 860 of the family's 1533-position model. The record is from RNAcentral.
AGAGUUUGAUCCUGGCUCAGAACAAACGCUGGCGGCGUGCCUAACACAUGCAAGUCGUACGAGAAAGUCCGCUUCGGUGGAUGAGUAAAGUGGCGCACGGGUGAGUAACGCGUGGAUAAUCUACCCUUUAGUCUGGAAUAACUUAUCGAAAGGUGAACUAAUACCGGAUAAUAUCCCGAUUUCUUCGGCGAUCGGGAUCAAAGAAGGCCUCUGCUUGCAAGCUUUCACUGAAGGAUGAGUCCGCGUACCAUUAGCUAGUUGGCAGGGUAAUGGCCUACCAAGGUUAUGAUGGUUAGCUGGUCUGAGAGGAUGAUCAGCCACACUGGAACUGAAACACGGUCCAGACUCCUACGGGAGGCAGCAGUGAGGAAUAUUGCGCAAUGGGGGCAACCCUGACGCAGCAACGCCGCGUGAGUGAGGAAGGUUUUCGGAUUGUAAGCUCUGGUCGAGCGGAAAGAAGUGCAUGGUGGUUAAUAUCCAUCAUGCUUGACGGUACCGCUAAAGGAAGCACCGGCUAACUCCGUGCCAGCAGCCGCGGUAAUACGGGGGGUGCAAGCGUUGUUCGGAAUCAUUGGGCGUAAAGCGCGUGUAGGCGGCUGGACAAGUCAGAUGUGAAAGCCCUGGGCUUAACCCAGGAAGUGCAUUUGAAACUGUUCAGCUAGAGUAAGGGAGAGGAAAGUGGAAUUCCUGGUGUAGAGGUGAAAUUCGUAGAUAUCAGGAGGAACACCGGUGGCGAAGGCGACUUUCUGGCCCUAUACUGACGCUGAGACGCGAAAGCGUGGGUAGCAAACAGGAUUAGAUACCCUGGUAGUCCACGCUGUAAACGAUGUUCCCUAGGUGUUGGGGGUAUUGACCCUUCCAGUGCCGCAGCUAACGCAU